GAUGAAAGAACGCAGCGAAAUGCGAUAAGUAAUGUGAAUUGCAGAAUUCAGUGAAUCAUCGAAUCUUUGAACGCACAUUGCGCCCGCCAGUAUUCUGGCGGGCAUGCCUGUCCGAGCGUCAUUUCAACCAUCAAGCCCCCGGGCUUGUGUUGGGGACCUGCGGCUGCCCGCAGGCCCUGAAAACCAGUGGCGGGCUCGCUGUCACACCGAGCGUAGUAGCAAUCACCUCGCUCAGGGCGUGCUGCGGGUUCCGGCCGUUAAACAGCCUUACAAAACCCAAGGUUGACCUCGGAUCAGGUAGGAAGACCCGCUGAACUUAAGCAUAUCAAUAAGCGGAGGA
Molecule: unclassified non-coding RNA, 340 nt
Filed under: soil metagenome
Description: partial contains 5.8S ribosomal RNA, internal transcribed spacer 2, and large subunit ribosomal RNA
Rfam family: 5.8S ribosomal RNA (bases 6-121)
Source: RNAcentral